AUUGAACGCUGGCGGCAUGCCUUACACAUGCAAGUCGAACGGCAGCACGGGUGCUUGCACCUGGUGGCGAGUGGCGAACGGGUGAGUAAUACAUCGGAACAUGUCCUGUAGUGGGGGAUAGCCCGGCGAAAGCCGGAUUAAUACCGCAUACGAUCUACGGAUGAAAGCGGGGGACCUUCGGGCCUCGCGCUAUAGGGUUGGCCGAUGGCUGAGUAGCUAGUUGGUGGGGUAAAGGCCUACCAAGGCGACGAUCAGUAGAUGGUCUGAGAGGACGACCAGCCACACUGGGACUGAGACACGGCCCAGACUCCUACGGGAGGCAGCAGUGGGGAAUUUUGGACAAUGGGCGAAAGCCUGAUCCAGCAAUGCCGCGUGUGUGAAGAAGGCCUUCGGGUUGUAAAGCACUUUUGUCCGGAAAGAAAUCCUUGGCUCUAAUACAGUCGGGGGAUGACGGUACCGGAAGAAUAAGCACCGGCUAACUACGUG
This 486-nucleotide ribosomal RNA is filed under the name uncultured bacterium. RNAcentral's name for it is "partial 16S ribosomal RNA". It matches the Rfam family "Bacterial small subunit ribosomal RNA", at positions 30 to 507 of the family's 1533-position model. The record is from RNAcentral.